AAAGCGUGCGCAGGCGGUUUUGUAAGUUUGUCGUGAAAUCCCCGGGCUCAACCUGGGAAUGGCGAUGAAGACUGCAAGGCUAGAGUUUGGCAGAGGGGGGUAGAAUUCCACGUGUAGCAGUGAAAUGCGUAGAUAUGUGGAGGAACACCGAUGGCGAAGGCAGCCCCCUGGGUCAAAACUGACGCUCAUGCACGAAAGCGUGGGGAGCAAACAGGAUUAGAUACCCGGGU
Molecule: ribosomal RNA, 230 nt
Filed under: uncultured bacterium
Lineage: Bacteria
Description: partial 16S ribosomal RNA
Rfam family: Bacterial small subunit ribosomal RNA
Source: RNAcentral